ACACUUGGAGACUGAAAGUUGGACUCGUAGGUACUGAGCGUCUUGUUGUGGAGACCAGAUGCAAUGCCUGGGCCUCCUGCUCCAGCUCCCAUCCAGCCCUGGGUCAAAGCCUGCAGGCGAAGGACAGGACAGCAGAGUGAGCUCCAGGAUGUGGAGGAAGGAAGAUGAGGUGUGGUGGGGAAAGGGUAAGUGGGUGUGGAGGGUAGAAAAGUGUCCCCGAAAAGAUAGCUCCAAGUCCUUACCCCGGUCCUUGCAAAUGUGACCUUAUUUGGAAAUGAGAUUUUUGCAGAUAUGAUCUAGUUAAAGGUCUCAAGAUGAGAUCAUCCUGGAUUUAGGGUGGGACCUAAGUCCAUUGACUAGUAGAUAUUUUUGCAAGAGAAAGGAGAAGAUUUGAGACACAGAGAGACACAGAGGGAAGAAAGCCGUGUGAACUUGGACUCAGAGAUGGGAGUGAUGCUGUCACAGCUAAGAAAUGCCAGGAAGCACCACAAGUUGGAAGAGGCAAGGGAGGGAUCCCCCCCAGAACCUUCAGAGAGAUCGUGGCCCUGCCAACACAUUGAUUUUGGACUUUUGGUCUCCAAAACUGUGAGAGAGGAAGUUUCUCUUGUUUGUUUUUUGUUGUUGGUGGUGGUGGUUUUUUGUUUUUUGUUUUAGAUGGAGUCUCGCUCUGUCGCCCAGGCUGGAGUGCAGUGGUGCGAUCUCGGCUCACCGCAAGCUCCGCCUCCCGGGUUCACCAUUCUCCUGCCUCAGCCUUCCAUGGAGCUGGGACUACAGGUGCCCGCCAACACACUCGGCUUUUUUUUUUUUUUUUUUUUUUUUUGUAUUUUUAGUAGAGACGUGGUUUCACCAUGUUAGUUCUCUUGUUUUAAGCUGCCACAUUUGUGGUACUUUUGUUAUGGCAGCCCUAAGGAGCUAAUUCACAGGAGAGAUGGGGAAGGGAAGAGGCAAGAAGAUAGAAAGAUGAGGAGGUGGGGACAGGGACAGCCAUGCAGGCUGAGGCAGCAGGGGUGGAACAGCUCCCCUCCCUGUCAUAGUCGCUUCAUAACAAAAUAUCCUGGACUGGUGGCUUAAACAACAGAAAUUAAUUUUCUCAGAGUUCUGGAGGCUGGAAGUGAAAGAUGAGGGUGCCAGCAUGGUCAGUUUCUGGUGAGGGCUCUCUUUCUGACUGGUAAACGGCUGCCUUCUGGCUGUGUCCUCGUAGGAGAACAGAAGGCAAAGGAAAGCUCUCUAGCUUCUCUUCCACCACGAGCUUCAAAUCUAAACCUGAUUAUCUCCCAAACACCAUCACUUUGGGGGUUAGGGUGUCAACAUAUGAGUUUAGGGAGGAUGCAAUUCAGUUGAUAGCAGGCCUUCAUGCAUGGGUGUCCCAGCAUAGGUCUGGCAGUUUAGAGGCCAGAACUACACGGAAUCUUGCUAUGCAAAAUGGGCAAAAACACCAUUGAUUGAAGGAUAAUUUAACCCGGAGCAGAGAAGUUACAUUGAGAAUCGAAAAAUGACACCCUUGCCUUGGGGUUAACGAGGCUGAAAAUAAAGACUAAACCAGCAGUAGUCUGGAUGAAGGUGAAGGCAGAAAUAAUUCCCUGACUGGUGUCCCUUCCGUUUCGGGAUGAAUUGUCCUCCAGCUGCUCCUGAUUCCUGCGUUAAAGUCCUGGUGUGAUGGCUCACAUCUGUCAUCCCUGCACUUUGAGAGGUGAGAGGAUUGCUUGAGGCCAGGGGUUCAAGACCAGCCUGGGCAACACAGUGAGACCCCAUGUCCACAAUAAAAGAAAUUAGCCAGGCAUGGUGGUGGAUGCCUGUAGUCCCAGCUACUCAGGAGGCUGAGGCAGGAGGAUUGCUCGAGCCCAGGAGUUGGAGGCUACAAUGAGCUGUGAUUGUGCCACCGCAUUCCAGGCUGGGUGACAGAGUGAGACUCUGUCUCAAAACAAAAACAAAAACAAAGACAAAAACAAAUCCUAACCCUUUAGUACUUCAGAAUAAGACUGUAUUUGGAGAUAAGGCCUUUAAAGAGGCAAUUAUGUUAAUGAGGUCAUUAGGGUGGGUCCUGAUCCAAUAUGAUGGAUGUCCUUGUAAGAAAAGGGAACUAGGACGCAGACAUGUGCAGAGGAAAGACCAUGCAAAGACACAGGGAGAAGACGGCCCUCUGCCAGUCAAGGAGACAGGCAUCAGAAAAAAAUCAAUCCUGCCAACACCUUGAUCUCGGCAAAGCUCCAGGCAUGUGAGAAAAUAAGUUCUGCGGCAGCCACCCAGGCUGUGGUAGUUUGUUAUGGCAACCAUCACCCACUAAGACACCGUCUCCAAGACCCUCCUCUAUAGACAGACACCUGAUGCCCAGGCCACCCCUCAGAUGCCAGGGGAAGCUGGCUGGGAAGGGCAUGGGCUUUGGAGCCACCAGCUACACCCUGGAAUCUCUGUUCAUGGCCUUCUAACUGUGGGACCUUGAGCAAGUUACUCCAUCUCUUUAGUCUUGGAGAUCCAUAAAGCUGGAGGUAAUGAACUCUCCCCAGAGCUGUGCAAAUUAAAUGAACUAACAAGUAAAAAGAUAGAUUUAUUUAUUUAUUUUAGACAGGGCCUCCCUCUGUCACCCAGGCUGGAGUGAGUGCAGUGUGCGAUCACAGCUCACUGCAGCCUCGACUUCCCAGGCUCAACUGAUCUCAGCCUCUGAAGGAGCUGGGAUUACAGGUGUGUGCCACCAUGCCCAGCUAAUUUUUUCAUCUUUUGUAUGUUGCCCAGGCUGAUCUCAAACUUCUGGGCUUAAGAGAUCCUCCUGCCUUGGCCUCCUGAAGUGCUGGGAUUAUAAGCAUGAGUCACCUCGCCCAGCCAUGUAAAAAGAUUUAAUAUGCCUGAGGCCCAAGGACUCUAAUACGUUCUCCAAUUUUACCUACUCUAGGGGACAUUUGCUGUGUUUUGCAGCCACACUGGGCAGCCUGUCUCUUUGGAGGAAAUGCCAAGAUCUGCGGGGGUCUGGCCCUGUUUCCCACUGUGUGCAGAUGAAUCUUCUAACCACCUGUCUUCUGGAAGUGGGGACAGGAAGUGGAGCCAGUUCUGCCAGGUCCUCCCAUUCAGAUGGUGGGCUCCUGAAGAAGUGACAUAGAGAACUCAUGGAGGUGACAGUGGAGACAGGCUCCCAGCGGAGGGCAGCAAGGACCAAUGAUGGUGCUGACUUCGUUCGUGCUGUUCCUGCUCCCUGCUCCGGUUACAGCCACAGGCUCCUCCACAUUCUUCUGUCUGCCUCCAGUUUCUUCUUCUCACUUUAAUCAGUCUUGUCCACCAUUGCCAGAUAAUUAAAAAACAAAACAAAACAAAAACUAAGCUUCCAUAUUAUCUACAAAAUAGUCAAGGUCUUUCUUCCAUGUUAUCUACAAAAUAUUCCAGGUUGUUCUUAGCCUUUUAGGAAUCAGAGGAGAAUUUCAACCCAUUAUGGGUUUAGGCCUCCAAGACUCUAACAGAAGAGGGACACGGUGGAAGAAUAAUGGGAAGUGGAAAUCUUACCCCUGGCAGGGUGUCCCGGUUCUGGAUGCAUGCCCAAGGAAACACAAACGAUAAUUUUUACAAAUCAAAGCCAUGCAAGUCCCAUGGAGACAUAUUAGAACAUGUUUUCUUAGAUUUGUAAGUCAUAGGACCAAAAUUGGUGGCUGAAUGGCACUGAGGGAGAGUCUGAUAGGUUACUAACUAAGGGGUGCUCUAUGUUGCCACAGACUAGGUGGAAAAGGAAGGGGUAGGGAAAGCCAGGGUGGUGAUCCUGAGAAAGAAGUUGGAUGAGAAGACUCUGCGCCUUCUAGCCAUGCUCAAAUGCUAGUGAUAAACACACACAGACAACAUACAGUGAAGUACACACACACAGAGUCUCACACACCUUGCACGGUGUGUGAGCACCUUGCAUGCUCUUGGGCAUCUACAGCACUCAUUUCACUGUCAGGUUUUGCCUUUUCUUUGGACGUCGCUCUUGGGCGUCUAGAGCACUCAUUUCACUGUCAGGUUUUGCCUUUUCUUUGGAUGUCACUCUUGGGCAUCUAGAGCACUCAUUUUACUGUCAGGUUUUGCCUUUUCUUUGGACGUCAUUUUUCCUUGUGUGCAUGUUGCCCAUUCCCCUAAGAAGUACAGGAGAGGUGGGCACGGUUGCUCACACCUGUAAUCCCAGCACUUUGGGAAGCCGAGGCAGGAGGAUCACUUGAGGCCAGGAGUUGGAGAACAGGCUGGGCAACAUGACGAGACCCUGUCUCUGCAAAAAAAAUCUUUAAAAAAUUAUCCAGGUGUGGUGGCAUGUGCCUGUGGUCCCAGCUACUAAGGAGGCUGAGGCGGGAGGAUCACUUGAGCCUGGGAAGUUGAAGAUGCAGUCAGCUGUGAUUGCAUCACUGUACUCUUGCCUGGGCAAUGGAGUGAAGCCCUGUCUCCAAAAACAACAAACAAACAAAAAAACCAAAAAACAAAAUAACAAAAGAGAAGUACAGCAGAUAUGGAGCAGAAGUGCGAAUGGUCUUCUAAAUAGUCAAUCUUUGGGGGCAUCCUCCCCUCCCUUCUCCCCUCCCCCCCUUUUUUUCUUAUACUUCUUCUUGCAGUCCAACAUCCUUAGCAGUGCAAAAUGAGUCAGAGUUUCCUCAGACCUUUGAGUGCUCAGCAUUAUAUAAUCAUCACUUCCAAGUAGCAUUCGGAGAUGUCUUUAAGCUGCAGCAGCUAUUGUUAGUUGUUUAAGACACUCCAUCACUGCCUUUGAUCGGAAACUUUCUCAUCACCAUUAUGUGCAUCGGUGCAGGCACCUUAAAUUUCACUGGGUCUUGGGAUUAGUCAUAUUAUAGAGAGACACAGAGAUGUGAGAAAUAAAUUGAAAAAAGGUCUGUAGCAACAGAUUUUACACCAUAAAAGAGUAAAUUAUUAGGUGUUAGGAAAAAUAUAAAUGUUGCAAACGGUGUGUUUUAUAUACUGUUGCCAAGAAUAAAAAUAUGCCAAAUAUGGGGGAAAAAGGUGUUGGUUAAUCUGACUUCUGGCUGGCCCCCACCCUGCAGCUCUUAGCACUGCUGGGCUGUUUUAUAGGGCAGUAACCCAGUCACCAAAGCAAAGAGAAUUCGAAUAAGGGACUUGGAAGAUAUGCCAACUUGGGGACUAAUUAUUGCCUUGUUAAACAGUGAGAUGGGGUUAUUGUACAUUUUUGUGUAUGGUAGUUAAAAUGUAUUUUAAAAAAGAAGUUUUUAGAAACCAAGAAUUCCCCAAAUUCAAGAAGUAACUGAUAAAGUAGUUUAUGGAAAUGUAAUCUCCCCAUAGAACCAGAUUGUGCAACAAAAAAGGAGAAGGAACGAUGUUAAAUGGGAAACAGAAUGGGGGUGACCCUUCCAGAUGGCUUUCUGGAAACUCCUUUCAAGCCAGCCACCCACCAGACGAUGCUACCAAAUGGCCCCUGUAUUCGUUUUUUAGGGCUGCCAUAACAAAGUGUCACAAGCUGGGUGGCUUACAACAAUAAAAAUCUACCAUUUUACAGUUCUGGAGGCCACAAGUGUGAAAUCAAGAUGUCAGCAGUGCCAUACUCUCUCUGAAGUCUGUUGGAGAGAACUCUUCUUUGUCUCUCCCAGUUUCUGGUGGUUUCCAGCAAUCCGUGGCUUCCUUGGCUUGUCGUCGCAUCAUUCCAGUCUCAGUCAUCAUGCGGCCUCCUCACUAUGUGUCUGUCUGUGUUUACAUUUUCCUCUUCUCAUAAGGGCAGCAGUAAAUGGAUUAGGCAUGCUAGUAUAUCUUCUUCGCUUGAUGGCAUCUGCAGACUCUGUUUCCAAAUAAGGCCUUGUUCAUGGGUACUGGGGUUAGGACUUCAACACCUCAUUUCUAGUCUCCUAUAUCACCAUGAAGAAAGCUAUGCUAGAAAGCUAUGUCUUUGUUACUUAUACAAAGUGGUAUUGAUAAUAGCUACUUACUCAAAACUACUCAGAAUAAGAUCAGUUUCUAGCAUGACAGUAUGAGGAGCCGCCUGACCCACUCCUCCAGGUAAACUGGUAAAAACAGCCAUUUAAGGCUUCUGGAAAUAGUCCCAAGGAAAAACAGCAAAGGAAGGAACCUGUAUUCAAGAAAAUGUACUAAUUUGGUAGAAGAGGUGAAUCUGUGGGAUUUGAAACAAGACCACUUCUUUCCUCCCCACUCCCAGCUCAGCACGGUGGCAAUUUCCCUCCAGACAGCUACUGCUGAAACACAGGUCUCCUCUCCUCCCAGCACAGAGGGCCUCCUUCCAGGGAGGAGUAGGAUGGCAGUGUCCUUCAUCCUGCCCCCAGCUCCCUGUUGCUGAGGCUGUCUCAGAUGAAUGCAGUUGAGAGGUGGGGGCUGCCACCCCUACCUGCUACUCAUGGAAGGAGACUCUACCUUGGGUGUGACAUGCUGAGAAGACUGUGGCCCUGGUCACUUUUGCCCUGGCUCUUGAGGUGGUGUUUCCAUGCCAGAAGGCUCAAGUUAAGAAGACCACUGGCUAUCCCCAACUCCUCCACCAAGCACCCAGCCCCUAGGCAGGGGGUGUCACUCAGAGAAAAGCUUACCAUUGUUUCUACCCCCAGCUCCAGAGCUCUGGUUCAGAUAUUUUGUUGCAAGGUAGGGGAGAAGAAGCAGUUCAGAGAAAAAAAGGUAAUUCUUAAUCUCUUCCCAAGGGAACUGACUUCAUUUUCAACAGAGCUUGGAGAAAAUUAAGCCUAAGUAUGCUCUGAAAACACAGUGGAGGUUGUGGUGAAGGGCAAUUGGGAGAGGCUAGUUUGCAGGAGAGAACCCAGAAUAAACCACUGGGAAGGAACCCUUCUGGGGGUCAGAACAAAUAUCAAACACUGACCUCAGAAACUAUUCUUUCAAAGGAGCCACAGUUUAAUGGGGUUAGUUUGUGGAACACUUUAUGCCCCAGGAUAUUGUUGAAAACAAUAGGGCAAUUGGCCACCAAUUAAUGGAGCUUAACAGCUGGAUGUGGUUAGGGAAGUGCCAGAGAGCCCUAGCAAAACCACUGUCAUCCCAGCACGACUGUGGGCAUAUGCAAAGCUGAACCUCUUUAGGGAGCAAUAUGAGAGGCUUAACGCUUUGGGAGGGAAAAUAUACAGUUGACCUUUGGACAACACAGGUUUGAACUGCGUGAAUCCACCUAUACAUGAAUUUUUUUCCACCACUGCCAACCUUGAGACAAGACUGACCCCUAUUCUUCUCCCUCCUCUGCAGCAUACUCUACAUGCAGAUGUUGUGGAUAAAGAUCUUUAUGAUGAUCUACUUCCACCUAAUGAAUAGUAAAUGUAUUUUCUCUUCCUUAGGAUUUUCUUAAUAAUAUGCUCUUUUCUGUAACUUAUUUUACUGAAAGAGUACAGUAUAUAAUACAUAUAACACACAAAAUAUAUGUUAAUUGACUAGCUGUGUUAUCAGUGAGGCUCCUUCUGGUCAACAGUAGGCUAUUAGUAAAGUUCUGGGGCAUCAAAAGUUAUACACAAUUAUUUUACUGCAUAGGCAGUCAAUGCCCAUAACCCCUACUUUGUUCAAGUGUCAACUUUACUUCAUGAAAAUAAACCAGGCAGUCACUAAAAACAAUCAAUAAGCAAAUAACAAUAACAAGUCCUGAAGGAGGGAAAGACCAAUAUCCAGAGUCAGUAGAAUAUAUUAUCUAAAAUGUCCAGUUUCUCACAAAAAAUUACAAGGCAUGCAAACAAACAAGAAAGUAUAAUAUGAUCCAUACACCUGAAAAAAAGCAGAGAAAGAAACUAACUUUAAGAAUGAUAAGACAUAGGCUGAGUGUGCCUGUAAUCUCAGCACUUUGAGGGGUUGAGGUGGGAGGAUUGCUUGAGCCCAGGAGAGUGAGGCUAGGCAUCUAUCACACCACUGUGCUCUAGCCUGGGUGACAAAGUGAGACCCUGUCAAAAAAAAGAAAAAAAAAAAACCCUCAAAAAACCUGUUAUAAGCAUGUUCACAGAGCUAAAAGAAGGGAUGAUGACCAUGUUCCAUCAAAUAGAGAAUGCCAACAGAGAGACAGAAUAAUCAAAUGGAAAUUCUGGAUUUGAAAAGUACAAUAAUUGAAAUGAAAUAUUCACUAAAGGGGCUCAAAAGUAGAUUUGAACUGGCAGAAGAAAGAAUAUGUGAAAUUGAAGAUAGAUCAAUAGAGACUAUGCAAGCUGAAGAACAGAAGAAGGAAUAAUGAAAAGUGAAGAGCACUUCAGAAAAUGUGAGACACCAUUAAGUGCACCAACAUACAUGUAAUGGAAGUAUCAGAAGGAAAGGAGAGAAAGGAGCAGAAAAAUCUUGAAGAUUAAGUGGGAAGAUCACUUGAGCUCAGGAGUUUGAGACCAGCCUGGGCAACCUAGUGAGACUUCACCUCUGUUAAAAAAAAUAGCUGGGUGUGGUGAUGUGCACCUGUAGUCCCAGCUAUUCAGAAGGCUGAGGUGGAAGAUUUUUUUAAGCUCGGGAUUUCUGCACUACAGUAAGCUAUGAUCGUGCCACUGCACUCCAGCCUGGGUGAAAGAGCGAGACCCUGUCUCAAUUUUUUUUUUUUCUGAAGAACUAGUGUCUGGAAGCUCCCCAAAUUUACUGAUAGAUAUUUGUCUGUAGUUUUCUUUUCUUGUAAUGUCUUUUUCUGCUUUUGGUACUAGGAUAAUGCUAGCGUCAUCGAAUGAGUUAGAAAGUAUUCCCUUUUCAUCUAUCUUCUGAAAGAGCUUAUAAGGGAAUUGGUAUAGUUUCUUCCUGAAGUGUUGGUGGAAUUCACCAAUGAACUCAUCUGGGCCUGGUACUUUCUGUUUUAGAAGGUUAUUAAUUAUUGAUUCAAUUUCUUUAAUAAAUAUAAGCCUAUUCAGAUUGUCUAUUUCUUCUUGUGUGAGUUUUUCUAGAUUGCAUCCUUCAAAAUAUUGGUCUAUUUCAUCUAAGUUAUCAGAUUUUUGGGCAUAGAACUGUUCAUAGUAUUCCCAAGUUUAUUGAAAAGCAAUAACCUACACAUCCAGAAAGCUCAACAAACUUCAAGUAAGAUAAAUAAAAGCAAAGAGAUACUAAACAGCCACAUCAUAGUACAAAUGCUGAAUUAAAGAUACAGAGAAAAUCUUGAAAGGAG
This 9025-nucleotide long non-coding RNA is filed under the name Homo sapiens (human). RNAcentral describes it as "non-protein coding lnc-HSD17B3-4:6". The record is from RNAcentral. Lineage: Eukaryota; Metazoa; Chordata; Mammalia; Primates; Hominidae.